RNAcentral lists this ribosomal RNA (434 nucleotides) under uncultured bacterium. RNAcentral describes it as "partial 16S ribosomal RNA". It matches the Rfam family "Bacterial small subunit ribosomal RNA", at positions 29 to 507 of the family's 1533-position model. The record is from RNAcentral.
AACGAACGCUGGCGGCAUGCCUAACACAUGCAAGUCGAACGAGACCUUCGGGUCUAGUGGCGCACGGGUGCGUAACGCGUGGGAACCUGCCCUUAGGUUCGGAAUAACUCCCCGAAAGGGGUGCUAAUACCGGAUAAUGUCUUCGGACCAAAGAUUUAUCGCCUUUGGAUGGGCCCGCGUUGGAUUAGCUAGUUGGUAGGGUAAAAGCCUACCAAGGCGACGAUCCAUAGCUGGUCUGAGAGGAUGAUCAGCCACACUGGGACUGAGACACGGCCCAGACCCCCUAGGGGGGGAAGAAGGGGGAAUUAUGGAAAAAGGGCGGAAAGCCUAACCAAGCAACGCCGCGUGAGUAAUAAGGCCUUUGGGGUUGUAAAGUUUUUUUACCCGGAAUGAAAAUGACGGUACGGGGAAAAAAAGCCCGGGCUAACCCCGUC